AAAAGGGGCAACUGCCCCGGACCCCAUAAUUAACAGGGGCCCACAGCUGCUGUCCUUUUAGUCUGGAGUGGCAGGCAGAAGACGAGCGGCCUUGACAGUGGGGAGAUCAUCACUGACAUCGUCCAACCCUUUCUCCUGUUGCAGUGGUUCCUGCUAUACUGGUGACUGCUGGGGGCAUUGGGAUCUCUACUGGUGCCUGCUGGGGGCAUUUAAAUCUCUACCGGUGACUGCUGGGGACAUUGAGAUCUCUACUGGUGCCUGCUGGGGACAUUGAGAUCUCUACUAGUGACUGCUGGGGGCAUUGAAAUCUCUACUGGUGCCUGCUGGGGACAUUGAGAUCUCUACUGGUGCCUGCUGGGGACAUUGAGAUCUCUACUGGCGCCUGCUGGGGGCA
This is a long non-coding RNA of Nanorana parkeri, 394 nucleotides long. RefSeq lists it as uncharacterized. The transcript has 2 exons. Lineage: Eukaryota; Metazoa; Chordata; Amphibia; Anura; Dicroglossidae. The record is from RefSeq and is a predicted model, not a curated record.